RNAcentral lists this ribosomal RNA (463 nucleotides) under Vreelandella stevensii. Its description in RNAcentral is "partial 16S ribosomal RNA". It matches the Rfam family "Bacterial small subunit ribosomal RNA", at positions 338 to 795 of the family's 1533-position model. Lineage: Bacteria; Pseudomonadati; Pseudomonadota; Gammaproteobacteria; Oceanospirillales; Halomonadaceae. The record is from RNAcentral.
CCUACGGGGGGCAGCAGUGGGGAAUAUUGGACAAUGGGCGAAAGCCUGAUCCAGCCAUGCCGCGUGUGUGAAGAAGGCCUUCGGGUUGUAAAGCACUUUCAGUGGGGAAGAAAGCCUUGGGGCUAAUACCCUCGAGGAAGGACAUCACCCACAGAAGAAGCACCGGCUAACUCCGUGCCAGCAGCCGCGGUAAUACGGAGGGUGCGAGCGUUAAUCGGAAUUACUGGGCGUAAAGCGCGCGUAGGCGGUCUGAUAAGCCGGUUGUGAAAGCCCCGGGCUCAACCUGGGAACGGCAUCCGGAACUGUCAGGCUAGAGUGCAGGAGAGGACGGUAGAAUUCCCGGUGUAGCGGUGAAAUGCGUAGAGAUCGGGAGGAAUACCAGUGGCGAAGGCGGCCUUCUGGACUGACACUGACGCUGAGGUGCGAAAGCGUGGGUAGCAAACAGGAUUAGAUACCUGUAGUC